Molecule: ribosomal RNA, 672 nt
Filed under: Enterococcus faecium
Lineage: Bacteria; Bacillati; Bacillota; Bacilli; Lactobacillales; Enterococcaceae
Description: bacterial SSU rRNA
Rfam family: Bacterial small subunit ribosomal RNA
Source: RNAcentral
UGCAAGUCGUACGCUUCUUUUUCCACCGGAGCUUGCUCCACCGGAAAAAGAAGAGUGGCGAACGGGUGAGUAACACGUGGGUAACCUGCCCAUCAGAAGGGGAUAACACUUGGAAACAGGUGCUAAUACCGUAUAACAAUCGAAACCGCAUGGUUUUGAUUUGAAAGGCGCUUUCGGGUGUCGCUGAUGGAUGGACCCGCGGUGCAUUAGCUAGUUGGUGAGGUAACGGCUCACCAAGGCCACGAUGCAUAGCCGACCUGAGAGGGUGAUCGGCCACAUUGGGACUGAGACACGGCCCAAACUCCUACGGGAGGCAGCAGUAGGGAAUCUUCGGCAAUGGACGAAAGUCUGACCGAGCAACGCCGCGUGAGUGAAGAAGGUUUUCGGAUCGUAAAACUCUGUUGUUAGAGAAGAACAAGGAUGAGAGUAACUGUUCAUCCCUUGACGGUAUCUAACCAGAAAGCCACGGCUAACUACGUGCCAGCAGCCGCGGUAAUACGUAGGUGGCAAGCGUUGUCCGGAUUUAUUGGGCGUAAAGCGAGCGCAGGCGGUUUCUUAAGUCUGAUGUGAAAGCCCCCGGCUCAACCGGGGAGGGUCAUUGGAAACUGGGAGACUUGAGUGCAGAAGAGGAGAGUGGAAUUCCAUGUGUAGCGGUGAAAUGCGUAGAUAUAU